This 250-nucleotide ribosomal RNA is filed under the name uncultured bacterium. RNAcentral's name for it is "partial 16S ribosomal RNA". It matches the Rfam family "Bacterial small subunit ribosomal RNA", at positions 524 to 773 of the family's 1533-position model. The record is from RNAcentral.
UACAGAGGGUGCUAACGUUGUUCGGAAUUACUGGGCAUAAAGCGCACGUAGGCGGCGCGUUGAGUGCGGGGUGAAAUCCCACGGCUUACCCGUGGAACAGCUUUGCAUACUGGCGUGCUGGAGUGCGGUAGAGGAGAGCGGAACUCUUGGUGGAGCGGUGAAAUGCGUAGAUAUCAAGAGGAACACCAAAGGCGAAGGCAGCUCUCUGGGCCGUAACUGACGCUGAGGUGCGAAAGCCAGGGGAUCAAAC